GUGAGGAAUAUUGGUCAAUGGUCGGAAGACUGAACCAGCCAUGCCGCGUGCAGGAAGACGGUCCUAUGGAUUGUAAACUGCUUUUAUUCGGGGUUAAACCUCCUUACGUGUAGGGAGCUGAAGGUACCGAAAGAAUAAGCACCGGCUAACUCCGUGCCAGCAGCCGCGGUAAUAAGGAGGGUGCAAGCGUUAUCCGGAAUCAUUGGGUUUAAAGGGUCCGCAGGCGGGAUUGUAAGUCAGUGGUGAAAUCCGGCAGCUCAACUGUCGCACUGCCAUUGAUACUGAAGUCCUUGAAUUCGAUUGGAGUGGGCGGAAUAUGUCAUGUAGCGGUGAAAUGCUUAGAUAUGACAUAGAACACCGAUAGCGAAGGCAGCUCACUAAGUCUGAAUUGACGCUCAUGGACGAAAGCGCGAGUAGCAAACAGGAUUAGAUACCCUAGUAGUCC
This 445-nucleotide ribosomal RNA is filed under the name uncultured bacterium. RNAcentral describes it as "partial 16S ribosomal RNA". It matches the Rfam family "Bacterial small subunit ribosomal RNA", at positions 354 to 796 of the family's 1533-position model. The record is from RNAcentral.